UGGCUGGUUUACUAGUCCGAAUUGUAGUUUAAAGAAGCGUUUUCGGUGGCAGCCUGGGUAUAAAUCCUUUGGAAUAGGGUAUCAUAGAGGGUGAGAAUCCCGUCUUUGACUCAGUGAAUGCUACUAUGUGAUACGUUUUCAAAGAGUCGAGUUGUUUGGGAAUGCAGCUCAAAAUGGGUGGUAAAUUUCAUCUAAAGCUAAAUAUUGGCGAGAGACCGAUAGCGAACAAGUACCGUGAGGGAAAGAUGAAAAGAACUUUGAAAAGAGAGUUAAACAGUACGUGAAAUUGUUGAAAGGGAAACGUUUGACACCAGUCAUGCGGGUGGAAAAUCAGUCUUUUAGAGUAGGGAGUGGUGGGGGUUCGGACCGCAAGGCUGGCCUUUAUCUCAUCUCUGCGCUAAUGGAUGCACUUUUUCAUUUGCAGGUCAACAUCAGUUUCUUCUGCUGGACAAAACUCCGAGAGAAGGUAGCAGCUUAGGCUGUGUUAUAGCUCUGGAGCGAUACAGUGGAGGGGACUGAGGUUUUCGCAGUGUGUGCUUUUGGGCAAGGUUGAUUGGGUGCUAUGUGAUCGUUCGGUGUACAAUGCAUGCAUUUUGCGCUGUGUCUUUUGCAUACUCGCCUGACUCGACUCUUCCACGCUUAGGAUGUUGACUUAAUGGUUUUAAACGACCCGUCUUGAAACACGGACCAAGGAGUCUAACAUAUAUGCAAGUGUUUGGGUGGCAAACCCAUACGCGUAAUGAAAGUGAACGUAGGUGCGAUCCGCAAGGUGCAGCAUCGACCGAUCUUGAUAUUUUUGGAUAGAUUUGAGUAAGAGCAUAUAUGCUGGGACCCGAAA
Molecule: ribosomal RNA, 838 nt
Filed under: uncultured fungus
Lineage: Eukaryota; Fungi
Description: eukaryotic LSU rRNA
Rfam family: Eukaryotic large subunit ribosomal RNA
Source: RNAcentral